Molecule: ribosomal RNA, 465 nt
Filed under: uncultured bacterium
Lineage: Bacteria
Description: partial 16S ribosomal RNA
Rfam family: Bacterial small subunit ribosomal RNA
Source: RNAcentral
CCUACGGGAGGCUGCAGUGGGGAAUAUUGCGCAAUGGGCGAAAGCCUGACGCAGCGACGCCGCGUGAGGGAUGAAGGUCCUCCGAUUGUUAACCUCUGUCAGCAGGGAAGAACGGUCACUGUGCUAAUCAGCAGUGAAUUGACGGUACCUGCAAAGGAAGCACCGGCUAACUCCGUGCCAGCAGCCGCGGUAAUACGGAGGGUGCGAGCGUUAAUCGGUAUGACUGGGCGUAAAGGGCUCGUAGGCGGUAUGUCAAGGCAAGGGUGAAAUCCCCGCGCUCAACGUGGGAACUGCCUUUGAAACUGGCAAACUGGAGUGUGUGAGAGGAUAGUGGAAUUCCAGGUGUAGGAGUGAAAUCCAUAGAUAUCUGGAGGAACAUCAGUGGCGAAGGCGACUAUCUGGCACAUAACUGACGCUGAGGAGCGAAAGCGUGGGUAGCAAACAGGAUUAGAUACCCUUGUAGUC